CCUACGGGGGGCUGCAGUGGGGAAUAUUGGACAAUGGGGGGAACCCCGAUCCAGCCAUGCCGCGUGUGUGAAGAAGGCCCUCGGGUUGUAAAGCACUUUCAGUGAGGAAGAACGCCUGGUGGUUAAUACCCAUCAGGAAAGACAUCACUCACAGAAGAAGCACCGGCUAACUCCGUGCCAGCAGCCGCGGUAAUACGGAGGGUGCGAGCGUUAAUCGGAAUUACUGGGCGUAAAGCGCGCGUAGGUGGCUUGAUAAGCCGGUUGUGAAAGCCCCGGGCUCAACCUGGGAACGGCAUCCGGAACUGUCAAGCUAGAGUGCAGGAGAGGAAGGUAGAAUUCCCGGUGUAGCGGUGAAAUGCGUAGAGAUCGGGAGGAAUACCAGUGGCGAAGGCGGCCUUCUGGACUGACACUGACACUGAGGUGCGAAAGCGUGGGUAGCAAACAGGAUUAGAUACCCUAGUAGUC
This 465-nucleotide ribosomal RNA is filed under the name Vreelandella stevensii. RNAcentral's name for it is "partial 16S ribosomal RNA". It matches the Rfam family "Bacterial small subunit ribosomal RNA", at positions 338 to 795 of the family's 1533-position model. The record is from RNAcentral. Lineage: Bacteria; Pseudomonadati; Pseudomonadota; Gammaproteobacteria; Oceanospirillales; Halomonadaceae.